AGAGUUUGAUCCUGGUUCAGAUUGAACGCUGGCGGCAGGCCUAACACAUGCAAGUCGAACGGUAGCACAGAGGAGCUUGCUCCUUGGGUGACGAGUGGCGGACGGGUGAGUAAUGUCUGGGAAACUGCCCGAUGGAGGGGGAUAACUACUGGAAACGGUAGCUAAUACCGCAUAACGUCGCAAGACCAAAGAGGGGGACCUUCGGGCCUCUUGCCAUCGGAUGUGCCCAGAUGGGAUUAGCUAGUAGGUGGGGUAACGGCUCACCUAGGCGACGAUCCCUAGCUGGUCUGAGAGGAUGACCAGCCACACUGGAACUGAGACACGGUCCAGACUCCUACGGGAGGCAGCAGUGGGGAAUAUUGCACAAUGGGCGCAAGCCUGAUGCAGCCAUGCCGCGUGUAUGAAGAAGGCCUUCGGGUUGUAAAGUACUUUCAGCGAGGAGGAAGGCGUUGUGGUUAAUAACCACAACGAUUGACGUUACUCGCAGAAGAAGCCCGGCUAACUCCGUGCCAGCAGCCGCGGUAA
Molecule: ribosomal RNA, 525 nt
Filed under: uncultured Enterobacterales bacterium
Lineage: Bacteria; Pseudomonadati; Pseudomonadota; Gammaproteobacteria; Enterobacterales
Description: bacterial SSU rRNA
Rfam family: Bacterial small subunit ribosomal RNA
Source: RNAcentral